UUGGAUUAUUGUGAGAAGAUAUUAAGAGUUUGUUAUCAAAUUUUGUAGAAGAUUAUUAAUGGAUAGAAGAUUAUGAUUAUUGUUUAUUGAGAGUUAUGUGUAUUUUGAUAGAAGAAGUUUGUGAUUAUAGAAAUUAUGUGAAGACAGAUUUUUUGGAGUGGAAGUUUAUUAUUUUUGGUGUUGGAUGGAAUUUAUGUAUUUGGAGCGGUCUUUUAAGACAGUGCGAGAAUUGUAUUUUGUUGUUAUCAAUGAUUAUAGAGUACUAUUAGGAAGUGGAAAGUAUUGUAGUAUUAUUUGGUGUUUUGAAUGAUUUAGAAUACGAUUAAUUAUAUGACCUUAACAAGUAGAACUCAUAUACUUAGUCUUUUCCUAUGUUUGAAUCUCCCUAAACAGGUUUAUUCUGAAAAGAAUUUCU
This 415-nucleotide long non-coding RNA is filed under the name Physcomitrium patens. Its description in RNAcentral is "long non-coding RNA (PPAT_LNC011352)". The record is from RNAcentral. Lineage: Eukaryota; Viridiplantae; Streptophyta; Bryopsida; Funariales; Funariaceae.